This 673-nucleotide ribosomal RNA is filed under the name uncultured bacterium. RNAcentral's name for it is "bacterial SSU rRNA". It matches the Rfam family "Bacterial small subunit ribosomal RNA", at positions 173 to 849 of the family's 1533-position model. The record is from RNAcentral.
AUAGUACUUUUAUCCUGCAUGGGAUGUGAGUUAAAUGUUCAAGGUAUCGGAUGGGCAUGCGUCCUAUUAGUUAGUUGGCGGGGUAACAGCCCACCAAGACGAUGAUAGGUAGGGGUUCUGAGAGGAAGGUCCCCCACAUUGGAACUGAGACACGGUCCAAACUCCUACGGGAGGCAGCAGUGAGGAAUAUUGGUCAAUGGACGUAAGUCUGAACCAGCCAAGUCGCGUGAGGGAAGACUGCCCUAUGGGUUGUAAACCUCUUUUAUAAGGGAAGAAUAAGUUCUACGUGUAGAAUGAUGCCUGUACCUUAUGAAUAAGCAUCGGCUAACUCCGUGCCAGCAGCCGCGGUAAUACGGAGGAUGCGAGCGUUAUCCGGAUUUAUUGGGUUUAAAGGGUGCGUAGGCGGUUUAUUAAGUUAGUGGUUAAAUAUUUGAGCUAAACUCAAUUGUGCCAUUAAUACUGGUAAACUGGAGUACAGACGAGGUAGGCGGAAUAAGUUAAGUAGCGGUGAAAUGCAUAGAUAUAACUUAGAACUCCGAUAGCGAAGGCAGCUUACCAGACUGUAACUGACGCUGAUGCACGAGAGCGUGGGUAGCGAACAGGAUUAGAUACCCUGGUAGUCCACGCCGUAAACGAUACUGACUGGUUCUGUGCGAUAUAUUGUACGGGAUUA